GAUUGGUGCUUGCAUCAUGAUUUACAUUUGAGUGAGUGGCGAACUGGUGAGUAACACGUGGGAAACCUGCCCAGAAGCGGGGGAUAACACCUGGAAACAGAUGCUAAUACCGCAUAACAACUUGGACCGCAUGGUCCGAGUUUGAAAGAUGGCUUCGGCUAUCACUUUUGGAUGGUCCCGCGGCGUAUUAGCUAGAUGGUGAGGUAACGGCUCACCAUGGCAAUGAUACGUAGCCGACCUGAGAGGGUAAUCGGCCACAUUGGGACUGAGACACGGCCCAAACUCCUACGGGAGGCAGCAGUAGGGAAUCUUCCACAAUGGACGAAAGUCUGAUGGAGCAACGCCGCGUGAGUGAAGAAGGGUUUCGGCUCGUAAAACUCUGUUGUUAAAGAAGAACAUAUCUGAGAGUAACUGUUCAGGUAUUGACGGUAUUUAACCAGAAAGCCACGGCUAACUACGUGCCAGCAGCCGCGGUAAUACGUAGGUGGCAAGCGUUGUCCGGAUUUAUUGGGCGUAAAGCGAGCGCAGGCGGUUUUUUAAGUCUGAUGUGAAAGCCUUCGGCUCAACCGAAGAAGUGCAUCGGAAACUGGGAAACUUGAGUGCAGAAGAGGACAGUGGAACUCCAUGUGUAGCGGUGAAAUGCGUAGAUAUAUGGAAGAACACCAGUGGCGAAGGCGGCUGUCUGGUCUGUAACUGACGCUGAGGCUCGAAAGUAUGGGUAGCAAACAGGAUUAGAUACCCUGGUAGUCCAUACCGUAAACGAUGAAUGCUAAGUGUUGGAGGGUUUCCGCCCUUCAGUGCUGCAGCUAACGCAUUAAGCAUUCCGCCUGGGGAGUACGGCCGCAAGGCUGAAACUCAAAGGAAUUGACGGGGGCCCGCACAAGCGGUGGAGCAUGUGGUUUAAUUCGAAGCUACGCGAAGAACCUUACCAGGUCUUGACAUACUAUGCAAAUCUAAGAGAUUAGACGUUCCCUUCGGGGACAUGGAUACAGGUGGUGCAUGGUUGUCGUCAGCUCGUGUCGUGAGAUGUUGGGUUAAGUCCCGCAACGAGCGCAACCCUUAUUAUCAGUUGCCAGCAUUAAGUUGGGCACUCUGGUGAGACUGCCGGUGACAAACCGGAGGAAGGUGGGGAUGACGUCAAAUCAUCAUGCCCCUUAUGACCUGGGCUACACACGUGCUACAAUGGAUGGUACAACGAGUUGCGAACUCGCGAGAGUAAGCUAAUCUCUUAAAGCCAUUCUCAGUUCGGAUUGUAGGCUGCAACUCGCCUACAUGAAGUCGGAAUCGCUAGUAAUCGCGGAUCAGCAUGCCGCGGUGAAUACGUUCCCGGGCCUUGUACACACCGCCCGUCACACCAUGAGAGUUUGUAACACCCAAAGUCGGUGGGGU
This 1389-nucleotide ribosomal RNA is filed under the name Lactiplantibacillus plantarum. RNAcentral's name for it is "bacterial SSU rRNA". It matches the Rfam family "Bacterial small subunit ribosomal RNA", at positions 71 to 1436 of the family's 1533-position model. The record is from RNAcentral. Lineage: Bacteria; Bacillati; Bacillota; Bacilli; Lactobacillales; Lactobacillaceae.